AAGUUUUGAAGUUCACGUAAAAAUAAUGGAUUUCUUUUCCUUCAACCUAAUAUUUUAAAAAUAAUGAAGGUUUGGCAGCUACAAUUCGUAAUUUUCGUACAAAAUAUGGUCGGAAUAGUAAUUUAACUUCAUCAACUGCGAAGAGAUUAAUUAAAAAAUUUAGGGAAACUGUAUCAAUUAGUGAUCUUAAACAUUCUGGCCGUCCUUCAACACAAAACAUCGAAGCAGUUCGUGAGAGUGUUGCUGAUGAUCAAUUGACUCAAGAACUGCAGCCUACUUACUCCGCACAGGAAUUAAAGAUCAGUGAAUGGAUUAAGAAACCACCACAAGUGGGUGCUUUUUCGAUCCUUAGCGAUGAAGCUCAAAUUUUGAUGAUUUGCUUCAUCGAAAAAAUUAUCGCAUUUGAGAAACUCGUUCAGAAAAUCUACGAUUGAUUGUUGAGAAACAAAUGCAUCCACAACGUGUUACUGGUGCGGAUUUUGGGCUGGAGGCAUCAUUGGACCAUUCUCCUUCGAAAAUGCGGCUGAUCAGGCAAUAACAGGGUUUUUUAAAGUCUAAAGUUUAUGCCAACAAGCCCACGACACCCACGCAUUGAAGAAAUUGAGCGCUGUAUCAACGAAAUUCAGCUACAUUUAUGCAAAACGGUCAUGGAAAAUUUCAACAAAAGAGUAUGUAUGUGCCAGCAAAGCCGAGGAAACCAUUUACCUGAUAUUCUAUUCCAUAUAUAACUCUAUACUGUAUACCUUAUUUAUCAAUAAAAAAUUUACAAUUUUUAAUAAUAAA
Long non-coding RNA from Dinoponera quadriceps, 783 nucleotides. RefSeq lists it as uncharacterized. The record is from RefSeq and is a predicted model, not a curated record. The transcript has 2 exons. NCBI's taxonomy places the organism in Eukaryota, Metazoa, Arthropoda, Insecta, Hymenoptera, Formicidae.